Molecule: long non-coding RNA, 1603 nt
Filed under: Fragaria vesca (wild strawberry)
Lineage: Eukaryota; Viridiplantae; Streptophyta; Magnoliopsida; Rosales; Rosaceae
Description: long non-coding RNA (FVES_LNC001208)
Source: RNAcentral
UUGUUGUAGCUAGCUAGCAAGAUAGUCUACUAGUAGUAAAAUUCAUGUUCAACUGGUCACUAAGGGCGUGUCCUGUAUAUUUUAAGAAAAUGGUUUCACAAUAUAAUUUUACAAAAUGAAAAUGAGAGAUUGAAUUGCAAGUUUUUUAAAAUCCUAAAAUGCAUCCGGCAGAAGUAUUGCAAAAACAAAAUCUGUAGUCUUCUUCUUUCCUCUUGUUAAAAUAAAAAAAAUAAAAAAAACAACCUUCUUUCCACAUAUAUUUCUUGUUGAACCAUGUGGAAAGAUCGACUGUUUUCCAUUGAAAUUAUUCGAGUUCGCAAGUAAAUUCUCUCUUGGUUAUAAAAAUGUUGAAAGAACAUAGCCAAACCCCCACUUUUGCUCAAGAGAUUGGAGAAGAGAUCAAAUAGCAUACAUCUGAAUAAUUAUUCUUCAAUCUCCUCGGUUCAAUUAGUCUGACUACCAAAGCUCCCAGACUACAACCAUCAUCGAUCUGAAGUUCUGAACCAGAUCUGAUCGACCACAUCCUGAUCAAAUCAAAACUUCGACCAAUCCUUUCUCCUCGUGAAACUUUAAUGAAAAAAAAAGUGGUCAUGAAGAGUGUUGCAUUGUAAUCUGCAGACUCAAAUACCCAAUGAAGAAGAUGAUGUAUAUGGUCAUCAAGAAAUGGAAUUCGACGGAGCUGCCUGGCCCCAAAGGGGUGGUGCGCCCAAUUUGAAGAACACAAGGAAUUAUUAAAAAAUAAUAAUAAUAAAAUAAAUCCUUUUGUUUUUUAUUUUUUGAAGAAGAAUUUACAAUAAAAAAAAGAAUAAAGGGUAAAUAAUCAUUUUACAACAAAAACAUGUUUUCCGUCGAUCUAUUUAACGGAGCUAACAGAUUCAAAUAUCAUUCUUCAUUGGACGUAAGAACGUGAGAUACCCUUCUCUAAUCACAGGAGUUUUUGUAAUUUCUUUCUUUUUAUUUUAAUUUAUUGGUCUUACUAUUUGAUCUAAUUACAUAAAGAUCAAACAGAGAACUAAUUAUGUAAGCUUGACAUGUGAACUAAUUAUAAUUGUUUAUGCAAUAAAAGUAACAUUAGCACGACGUACCAGGGAAUUAAAGAAGAAGAUAAAAGCUUUAGCUCGAGCAAUAAAACUUAAACAAUCAAUAACUAUGAGGAUGUACCAAAUAUAUAAGCCAUAAUUAACAAGUUAUAUUAGAUAAAUGAGGAACGGUGAUCAAUAAAGAUAUAUUAAGGAGAUGGUAAAAGUGUUCUCUAUAUAUUCACAGUUGAUCUUACAUGUUCAAAAUCUUCCUUCCACAUUGACAGAAACUAUACCUAUAUUUAUAUGCAUUGAUGCCCCCGUAUAAUGAUCAGCUCGAUCGCCGGCCUCGACCGCAGUUUGGAGCCAUGGCCGGGCAAGGAGACAAAGAUUAGAGAUGAGUACCUGUACUUCCAUAUACUUCCCUGGCUAAGAGUUGAGGAGCUUGCAGAGAAUAGAUUGAGGUGCCCAUCGAGCAACAGGAAGAACAGCAAACACAGAUUACCAGCAACAAGCUAGCCAUAUGGUUUCCUUACAUUUCUGGCUCCUGCUCUGUUGAUUUUGUUGUGCUAUUUAUACUAAAC